Molecule: ribosomal RNA, 486 nt
Filed under: uncultured bacterium
Lineage: Bacteria
Description: partial 16S ribosomal RNA
Rfam family: Bacterial small subunit ribosomal RNA
Source: RNAcentral
GAUGAACGCUAGCGGCAGGCUUAACACAUGCAAGUCGAGGGGCAGCGCGGGAUAGCAAUAUCCUGGCGGCGACCGGCGGACGGGUGCGUAACGCGUGAGCGACAUGCCCGUUGCCCGGGGACAACCGGUGGAAACGCCGACUAAUCCCCGAUGGGAUACGAUGCUUCAUGGCAUUGUAUUGAAAGUUACGGCGGCGACGGAUUGGCUCGCGUCCGAUUAGCUGGUUGGCGGGGUAACGGCCCACCAAGGCUGCGAUCGGUAGGGGUUCUGAGAGGAAGGCCCCCCACAAUGGGACUGAGACACGGCCCAUACUCCGACGGGAGGCAGCAGUGAGGAAUAUUGGUCAAUGGGCGGAAGCCCGAACCAGCCAUGCCGCGUGCGGGAAGGAGGCCCUAUGGGCUGUGAACCGCUUUUGCCUGGGGGCAAUAAGGGCGUCGCGCACGUCCGAUGAGAGUACCAGGAGAAUAAGCAUCGGCUAACUCCGUG